GAUGAACGCUGGCGGCGUGCCUAACACAUGCAAGUCGAACGGACAGACGACUUUGGGGGUACUCGAGUGGCGAACGGGUGAGUAACACGUGAGUAUGGUGCCCCUGCCUAUGGGACAAGUUUAGGAAACUGGGGCUAAAACUGAUACGGAAUACUUGAUGAAACGUGGGGGUUGGAUAGCUACGGCGGGUUUGGCUGGCCCUGUGGGUUAUUUGCUUGCUGGUGGGGUAACGGCUUAACAUGGCGGUUAUGGGUAGCCGAGCUGAGAGGGUGACCGGCCACACUGGGAGUGAGCCACGGCCCAGACUCCUAGGGGAGGCAGCAGUAGGGAAUGUUGGGAACUGGGCGAAAGCCUGCACAAGCAACGCAGCGUGGAUGAUGAAGGUCUUCGGGUGGUAAAACGCCGUUCGGGGGGAAGACCACUUUCAUCAGUAACGAAGCUUGUCGUGACGGUACCUGCAGAAGAAGCACCGGCUAACUACGUG
This 484-nucleotide ribosomal RNA is filed under the name uncultured bacterium. Its description in RNAcentral is "partial 16S ribosomal RNA". It matches the Rfam family "Bacterial small subunit ribosomal RNA", at positions 28 to 507 of the family's 1533-position model. The record is from RNAcentral.